Molecule: transfer RNA, 69 nt
Organism: Ovis aries (sheep)
Lineage: Eukaryota; Metazoa; Chordata; Mammalia; Artiodactyla; Bovidae
Rfam family: tRNA
About the family: Transfer RNA (tRNA) molecules are approximately 80 nucleotides in length. Their secondary structure includes four short double-helical elements and three loops (D, anti-codon, and T loops).
Source: Rfam
GAGGAUUUAGCUUAACUAAAGUGUUUGAUUUGCAUUCAAUUGAUGUAGGAUAGAGCUUUACAAGUCUUA